GUGUUCCUGAUCUGACCUAGCGGGGAUCCUGAGGAAUGAAAUAAUGCCUGGUAGUCAGCAGAGUCAGCGUGUGUGCACAAAGGGGUUCCUCGCUAUUGAGGGAUAGGAGUGUGCAUGUCACACGACUUGCCAGUGAAAGAAGAGCUUGUAUCUGCCUGACUGCUUUCAGAUCAAAUCAUCUUUGCCAGCCAAAGCAGACUCUUCUUGCCUGCUUCCAAGAGGCACGAGCUUAAACAACUGGUCUCAGAGUGGGGUGUCUCUACAGUCUUAGCCAUGAAGAGAGGAGAUGAAAUGUUCUCCUGUUCAGUGUAUAUGGAAGAGACUGGAGUAAGCUCCUAUCUUCGUAACAGUAAAACUACAGUGAAAUCUGAAUUCUUUGUUCAUGUUUCAUUGCCUGCUUUGAGGAAAACAGUGAUCAUGAGAUCAGACAUCAGC
This is a long non-coding RNA of Aquila chrysaetos chrysaetos, 435 nucleotides long. RefSeq lists it as uncharacterized. The transcript is spliced from 3 exons. The record is from RefSeq and is a predicted model, not a curated record. NCBI's taxonomy places the organism in Eukaryota, Metazoa, Chordata, Aves, Accipitriformes, Accipitridae.